UGGGGAAUAUUGGACAAUGGGCGAAAGCCUGAUCCAGCAAUGCCGCGUGAGUGAUGAAGGCCUUAGGGUUGUAAAGCUCUUUUACCCGGGAUGAUAAUGACAGUACCGGGAGAAUAAGCCCCGGCUAACUCCGUGCCAGCAGCCGCGGUAAUACGGAGGGGGCUAGCGUUGUUCGGAAUUACUGGGCGUAAAGCGCACGUAGGCGGCUUUGUAAGUUAGAGGUGAAAGCCCGGGGCUCAACUCCGGAAUUGCCUUUAAGACUGCAUCGCUAGAAUUGUGGAGAGGUAAGUGGAAUUCCGAGUGUAGAGGUGAAAUUCGUAGAUAUUCGGAAGAACACCAGUGGCGAAGGCGACUUACUGGACACAUAUUGACGCUGAGGUGCGAAAGCGUGGGGAGCAAACAG
RNAcentral lists this ribosomal RNA (403 nucleotides) under uncultured bacterium. RNAcentral describes it as "bacterial SSU rRNA". It matches the Rfam family "Bacterial small subunit ribosomal RNA", at positions 355 to 775 of the family's 1533-position model. The record is from RNAcentral.